RNAcentral lists this ribosomal RNA (497 nucleotides) under uncultured bacterium. RNAcentral's name for it is "bacterial SSU rRNA". It matches the Rfam family "Bacterial small subunit ribosomal RNA", at positions 15 to 507 of the family's 1533-position model. The record is from RNAcentral.
GAUCAGUGGCUCAGGACGAACGCUGGCGGCGUGCUUAACACAUGCAAGUCGAACGAUGAAGCUGGAGCUUGCUCCGGUGGAUUAGUGGCGAACGGGUGAGUAACACGUGAGUAAUCUGCCCUUGACUCUGGGAUAACUGCGGGAAACUGUAGCUAAUACCGGAUACGACACCUUCGGGCAUCCGAUGGGUGUGGAAAGAAUUUCGGUCAAGGAUGAACUCGCGGCCUAUCAGCUAGUUGGUGAGGUAAUGGCUCACCAAGGCGACGACGGGUAGCCGGCCUGAGAGGAUGUCCCCCCANACUGGUACUGAGACACGGACCAGACUCCUACGGGAGGCAGCAGUAGGGAAUAUUGGUCAAUGGGCGCAAGCCUGAACCAGCCAUGCCGCGUGCAGGAUUAAGGCCCUAUGGGUUGUAAACUGCUUUUGUUUGGGAAGAAAUGUAUUCUUUUAAGAGUAUUUGACGGUACCAGACGAAUAAGCACCGGCUAACUCCGUG